This 472-nucleotide ribosomal RNA is filed under the name uncultured soil bacterium. Its description in RNAcentral is "bacterial SSU rRNA". It matches the Rfam family "Bacterial small subunit ribosomal RNA", at positions 94 to 611 of the family's 1533-position model. The record is from RNAcentral.
AGUGGCGGACGGGUGAGUAAAACGUAGGAACUUGCCUUAGAGAGUGGGACAACCCGGGGAAACUCGGGCUAAUACCGCAUAAAUGAGAGCAAAGUGUCGCUCUGAGAGAGGCGUACGUCGGAUUAGCUAGUUGGUGGGGUAAAGGCCUACCAAGGCGAAGAUCCGUAGCUGGUCUGAGAGGACGAUCAGCCACACUGGGACUGAGACACGGCCCAGACUCCUACGGGAGGCAGCAGUGGGGAAUAUUGGACAAUGGGGGCAACCCUGAUCCAGCGAUGCCGCGUGUGUGAAGAAGGCCUGCGGGUUGUAAAGCACUUUAGGUGGGGAGAAAUGAUGUAACCCACAGAAUAAGCACCGGCUAACUCUGUGCCAGCAGCCGCGGUAAUACAGAGGGUGCGAGCGUUAAUCGGAAUUAUUGGGCGUAAAGCGCAUGUAGGUGGCUCGUUAAGUCUGAUGUGAAAGCCUGGGCUUA